RNAcentral lists this antisense RNA (75 nucleotides) under Streptomyces scabiei. RNAcentral describes it as "Aspks sRNA". It matches the Rfam family "ASpks TB sRNA". Lineage: Bacteria; Bacillati; Actinomycetota; Actinomycetes; Kitasatosporales; Streptomycetaceae. The record is from RNAcentral.
CUUCACCGACCCCAGCCACAACGGCCGGUCGCCGGAUCGGUCUUGGCCGUACGUGGCCAGCAACGCCUGCGCCUC